Molecule: ribosomal RNA, 449 nt
Filed under: uncultured prokaryote
Description: bacterial SSU rRNA
Rfam family: Bacterial small subunit ribosomal RNA
Source: RNAcentral
UGAGGAAUAUUGGGCAAUGGGCGAAAGCCUGGCCCAGCCACGCCGCGUGUGUGAUGAAGGCCUUCGGGUCGUAAAGCACUGUGGGGAGGGACGAACAUGCGCAUGAGGAAAUGCUUGCGCACUGACGGUACCUCCUUAGCAAGCACCGGCUAACUCUGUGCCAGCAGCCGCGGUAAUACAGAGGGUGCGAACGUUGCUCGGAUUUACUGGGCGUAAAGCGCGUGUAGGCGGACUCGCAAGUCGGUUGUGAAAUCCCUGGGCUCAACCUAGGAACUCCAUCCGAAACUGCUUGUCUUGAGUAAUGGAGAGGGUGGCGGAAUUCCCGGUGUAGAGGUGAAAAUCGUAGCUAUCGGGAGGAAGAUCAGUGGCGAAGGCGGCCACCUGGACAUUCACUGACGCUGAGACGCGAAAGCGUGGGAAGCAAACAGGAUUAGAUACCCCCGUAGUCC